This 248-nucleotide ribosomal RNA is filed under the name uncultured bacterium. Its description in RNAcentral is "partial 16S ribosomal RNA". It matches the Rfam family "Bacterial small subunit ribosomal RNA", at positions 85 to 334 of the family's 1533-position model. The record is from RNAcentral.
AGAUGGCGGACCGGCGCACGGGUGAGUAACACGUACCCAACCUGCCGAUAACUCGGGGAUACCUUUACGAAAGAAAGAUUAAUACCCGAUGGUAUAAUCAGACCGCAUGGUUUGAUUAUUAAAGAAUUUCGGUUAUCGAUGGGGAUGCGUUCCAUUAGGCAGUUGGUGAGGUAACGGCUCACCAAACCUUCGAUGGAUAGGGGUUCUGAGAGGAAGGUCCCCCACAUUGGAACUGAGACACGGUCCAA